AAACCAGACCUGCGCACAGCCCUCGUCUCCGUGACAGUCUUCCAUCCGUCGCGCGUCCCCACCACACCUUGGGCCGCCGGCUGCUGGCUCAAAGGGCCUUCGGCCCCCCGGCAGCUACUCCACGCCUCUGCUGGCCGCACUGCACGGCCCCCUGCUCGGUCACUGCUCGCAACCCGACUGCAGCAGCCGCGGCAUUCCAGAGCCUGAUUUACGGCUGUGGGAGGGAAGCCAAGUCGCCUGAAGAGGAACACGGGUGAAAUCACACUGGCUAAGUGCCUAGGGCCUGCCAGGUGUCAAGCCACGAGGCAACACUCUGACCCCAACCUACCAGAAGACAGAAAAGCUAACCGACAGCGCUUAAUGUGUGCCAAGUCCCUUCACACCCCUCUCUUCUCCUGGGCUCUCAGCUGCCAUCCAAGGAGGGAGACUUUUCCAGAUGAGAAUCUGGAGCAUCAGAGCAGCUGGCGCAGAAUGCAGCACCUCAAUACAAUGCUCUAGGGUUUUGGGGCUUUUAAGGACCAUUGCUCUUGUCUCCUACCACCACUGAAACUGGCCCCGUCAGGAGCACAUGCCAGCCUAGAUGCAGAACAAACCGGUGACAAAUGGUCUGCUCGCUGCAAGGUCGUAUGUGUACUUCUCAGAUCCAGCUUGGAAAAGUCUUGAUUCUUCCUUUCUUUACCAACUGUUUCAUCCAUGUGAGUUGUCAGUUUCUAUAUAGAAAUAAAUGAAACUCUCCCAUUAGGAUUACACUUUUGGAAUUUCUUAUAAAUCUGUCAAUUUUUGCUUGAUGCAUGUUGAGAUAUUGUUUUUUGAUAUUCCAAGCUGUGCUAAGUGCAUACGGAUCAUAAUUGCAGACUGAACCUAUUUAUUAUUCCACAUUUUCCCAAAAACAUCAUUUGCUUUCUAUUCUAUGUGUAAACCCAUUUGAAGUUUCACGAAAAUAGAUGAUUGAAAGAGGAGAUUGGCCAACAAAAAUAAAAGCACAGCAAAGAUUUUAUUUUUGUUCUUUCUCUUUACUUUUUCCUGCAUCCCUCUGGGUUACUUGAACAUUUCUUAGGAUUCUAUUUUGGUUUGUCUAUAAAUCUUACAUAUUAUAAUUGUAUAUAAUUUUAUCUGUAACUAACCACAGCCUAUUGGUAUAGACCUUUUACCAAUCUGCAUAAAGUGUAGAAAGCUUACCUUCCUGUUUCUACCAUUUAUAAAAUAAUUAUCUUAAAUAUUUCCUUGUCAUAUAUUGGUUACCACAUCACGUAAUGUUUUCAUUUUUACUUCAACAAUCAAACA
Molecule: long non-coding RNA, 1284 nt
Filed under: Dasypus novemcinctus (nine-banded armadillo)
Lineage: Eukaryota; Metazoa; Chordata; Mammalia; Cingulata; Dasypodidae
Description: lncRNA (ENSDNOG00000052707.1)
Source: RNAcentral